This 290-nucleotide unclassified non-coding RNA is filed under the name Hevea brasiliensis (rubber tree). The record is from RNAcentral. Lineage: Eukaryota; Viridiplantae; Streptophyta; Magnoliopsida; Malpighiales; Euphorbiaceae.
GGCCCACUAGCCAAACCACCUGGGCACUAGGCCCAAUGUGCAUCUGGAAAGCGCCAGUUCAAAUCUGGUUCGUGAUAAGGCCUUGAUCUAUACAGAUGGGAUCCCGACCUUUUACCUCACAAAGCCAGUGGUACAUUUCUAGACCGUGCUUGUGGUUGUGGGAUUACACAUCGGAGAACUUCUUUCAUUUUGACUAUUCACAGUAGUCGGUCCUAUAAGAUGAGGAGUCAGCUGAUGAAGUCUUGGCAGCGGCUCUGUAGGCUUAUAAUGAUUUCUAGGCCCUUUGGAAA